This 448-nucleotide long non-coding RNA is filed under the name Populus trichocarpa (black cottonwood). Its description in RNAcentral is "long non-coding RNA (PTRI_LNC004501)". Lineage: Eukaryota; Viridiplantae; Streptophyta; Magnoliopsida; Malpighiales; Salicaceae. The record is from RNAcentral.
GGAGACACCUCAGGCAGAAGGUGUGUGGGCCAUGAAACGAGCCCAAAUACAGACCGCCACAUGACGAUGAGCGGAGACACCUCAAAUAGAAGGUGUGUGGGCCAUAAAACGAGCCCAAGUACAAACCGCCACAUGACGAUGAGCGGAGACACCUCAAAUAGAAGGUGUGUGGGCCAUAAAACGAGCCCAAGUACAAACCGCCACAUGACGAUGAGCGGAGACACCUCAGGCAGAAGGUGUGUGGGCCAUGAAACUAGCCCAAGUAGAAACCGCCGCAUGACGACGAGCAGAGACACCUCAGGCAAAAAGGUGUGUGGGCCAUGAAAGGAGCCCAAGUACAGACCGCCUCAUGACGACAUGCGGAGAGACCUCGGAUAUAAGGUGUGAGGACCAUGAUAUGAGUCCAAGUUCAAACCGUCUCAUGACGACAGGCGAAGACACCUCAGAC